UAAUUAGAAACUGAAAUGAAUGGUUGGACGAGAUAAUAACUGUCUCUAUCUUAAUUUUUAUAGAACUUUAUAUUUAAGUUAAAAAGCUUAAAUUUUUUUAAAAGACGAGAAGACCCUAUAGAGUUUUAUUUAAUUAUUAAUUUAAUUUUAAUAGAAUUUUUUUAAUUUAAUAAAUAAUUAAAUUUUGUUGGGGUGACAUAAAAAUUUAAAUAACUUUUUAUAAUUUAAACAUUAAUUUAUGCUUAAUUGAUCCAUUUUUUAUGAUUAUAAGAUUAAAUUACCUUAGGGAUAACAGCGUAAUUUUUUUUUAGAGUUCUUAUUGAAAAAAAAGGUUGCGACCUCGAUGUUGGAUUAAAAUUUAUAUUUGGUGUAGUAGCUAAAUUGAUUAAGUCUGUUCGACUUUUAAAAUUUUACAUGAUCUGAGUUUAAACCGGUGUGAGCCAGGUUGGUUUCUAUCUUUAAAAAAAUAAAAUAUUUUAGUACGAAAGGACCAAAUAUUAAUAAUAUUUAUUUAAAUAGAAUAAUUUUAAUUACUUUGGCAGAAUAGUGUAUUAAAUUUAGAAUUUAAUUAAGUAAUAAAUAUUACAAGUAAUAC
RNAcentral lists this unclassified non-coding RNA (595 nucleotides) under Agathidium sp. MNCN-AI1305. RNAcentral describes it as "partial contains 16S ribosomal RNA (rrnL) and tRNA-Leu (trnL)". The stretch from base 288 to 447 matches the Rfam family "Bacterial large subunit ribosomal RNA", at positions 2473 to 2632 of the family's 2925-position model. Lineage: Eukaryota; Metazoa; Arthropoda; Insecta; Coleoptera; Leiodidae. The record is from RNAcentral.